Molecule: ribosomal RNA, 460 nt
Filed under: uncultured bacterium
Lineage: Bacteria
Description: partial 16S ribosomal RNA
Rfam family: Bacterial small subunit ribosomal RNA
Source: RNAcentral
CCUACGGGUGGCAGCAGUGAGGAAUAUUGGUCAAUGGACGAGAGUCUGAACCAGCCAAGUAGCGUGAAGGAUGACUGCCCUAUGGGUUGUAAACUUCUUUUAUAUGGGAAUAAAACAGGGUAUGCAUACCCUCUUGUAUGUACCAUAUGAAUAAGGAUCGGCUAACUCCGUGCCAGCAGCCGCGGUAAUACGGAGGAUCCGAGCGUUAUCCGGAUUUAUUGGGGUUAAAGGGAGCGUAGGUGGAUUGUUAAGUCAGUUGUGAAAGUUGGCGGCUCAACCGUAAAAUGGCAGUUGAAACUGGUAGUCUAGAGUACAGUAGAGGUGGGCGGAAUUCGUGGUGUAGCGGUGAAAUGCGUAGAUAUCGCGAAGAACACUCAUUGCGAAGGCAGCUCCCUGGACUGCAACUGACGCUGAUGCUCGAAAGUGAGGGUAGCAAACAGGAUUAGAUACCCUAGUAGUC